Molecule: long non-coding RNA, 302 nt
Filed under: Mytilus galloprovincialis (Mediterranean mussel)
Lineage: Eukaryota; Metazoa; Mollusca; Bivalvia; Mytilida; Mytilidae
Source: RNAcentral
GCUAUAGAUAGUUUUGUUUUGCCAGCAUACAAUAUAAUUGCAGUUGAAGGCAAAUCCUUCAGAAGUUCUUUAUACUUUAUUCUAACAACGAACAUUUUUGAUAGGGAAUAUAAGUAAGGGGAAAGAAACCAAUGUUGAUAUCUUUUUAUAAUAUUUACAAAAAAAAAACGGUGCGGGAAAAAACAUGAUUACAUUUCCGGAUGCGGGAAGCGGGAAUAUAAAAAAAAUAAAAAAAAUCUGUUUUGAAAAAAAUAGGUGCGGGCGGGUCCGUCGAACAAGGAAUCAAAUUGGUGUGGCCUAAU